This 505-nucleotide ribosomal RNA is filed under the name uncultured bacterium. Its description in RNAcentral is "partial 16S ribosomal RNA". It matches the Rfam family "Bacterial small subunit ribosomal RNA", at positions 28 to 507 of the family's 1533-position model. The record is from RNAcentral.
GACGAACGCUGGCGGCGUGCCUAAUACAUGCCAGUAGAACGCACAGUUUAUACCGUAGCUUGCUACACCAUAGACUGUGAGUUGCGAACGGGUGAGUAACGCGUAGGUAACCUGCCUGGUAGCGGGGGAUAACUAUUGGAAACGAUAGCUAAUACCGCAUAAUAUUAAUUAUUGCAUGAUAAUUAAUUGAAAGGUGCAAUUGCACCACUACCAGAUGGACCUGCGUUGUAUUAGCUAGUAGGUGAGGUAACGGCUCACCUAGGCGACGAUACAUAGCCGACCUGAGAGGGUGAUCGGCCACACUGGGACUGAGACACGGCCCAGACUCCUACGGGAGGCAGCAGUAGGGAAUCUUCGGCAAUGGACGAAAGUCUGACCGAGCAACGCCGCGUGAGUGAAGAAGGUUUUCGGAUCGUAAAGCUCGGUUGUAAGAGAAGAACGGGUGUGAGAGUGGAAAGUUCACACUGUGACGGUAUCUUACCAGAAAGGGACGGCUAACUACGUG